GAGUUUGAUCCUGGCUCAGAACGUACGCUGGCGGCACGCCUAACACAUGCAAGUCGAACGAAGUAGCAAUACUUAGUGGCAGACGGGUGAGUAACAUGUGGGUAUCUGCCCUUUGGCCUGGAAUAACACGAGGAAACUUGUGCUAAUACCGGAUAAGUCUUUACGGAGAAAGCUUUAUGCACCAUUGGAUGAGCCCGCACUUGAUUAGUUUGUUGGUGGGGUAAUGGCCUACCAAGACUGUGAUCAAUAGCUGAUUUGAGAGGAUGAUCAGCCACAUUGGGACUGAGACACGGCCCAAACUCCUACGGGAGGCAGCAGUGGGGAAUCUUGCACAAUGGAGGAAACUCUGAUGCAGCGAUGCCGCGUGAGUGAAGAAGGCCCUUGGGUUGUAAAGCUCUUUCGUCGGGGAAGAAAAUGACUGUACCCGAAUAAGAAGGUCCGGCUAACUUCGUGCCAGCAGCCGCGGUAAUACGAAGGGACCUAGCGUAGUUCGGAAUUACUGGGCUUAAAGAGUUCGUAGGUGGUUGAAAAAGUUAGUGGUGAAAUCCCAGAGCUUAACUCUGGAACUGCCAUUAAAACUUUUCAGCUAGAGUAUGAUAGAGGAAAGCAGAAUUUCUAGUGUAGAGGUGAAAUUCGUAGAUAUUAGAAAGAAUACCAAUUGCGAAGGCAGCUUUCUGGAUCAUUACUGACACUGAGGAACGAAAGCAUGGGUAGCGAAGAGGAUUAGAUACCCUCGUAGUCCAUGCCGUAAACGAUGUGUGUUAGACGUUGGAAAUUUAUUUUCAGUGUCGCAGCGAAAGCGAUAAACACACCGCCUGGGGAGUACGACCGCAAGGUUAAAACUCAAUGAAUUGACGGGGANCGCACAAGUAGUGNGCAUGUGGUUUAAUUCGAGAUACGCGCAGANCUUACAACACUUGACAUGUUCGUCGCGACUCUAGAGAUUAGAGUUUUCGGUUCGGC
This 963-nucleotide ribosomal RNA is filed under the name uncultured bacterium. Its description in RNAcentral is "bacterial SSU rRNA". It matches the Rfam family "Bacterial small subunit ribosomal RNA", at positions 9 to 1024 of the family's 1533-position model. The record is from RNAcentral.